GACUCGGUCUCAGUUCAGAUUGCAGGCUGCAACUCGCCUGCAUGAAGUUGGAAUUGCUAGUAAUCGCGAAUCAGAAUGUCGCGGUGAAUACGUUCCCGGGCCUUGUACACACCGCCCGUCACACCAUGAGAGUCGAUAACACCCGAAGCCUGUGAGCUAACCUUUUAGGAGGCAGCAGUCGAAGGUGGGGUUGAUGAUUGGGGUGAAGUCGUAACAAGGUAAC
This 223-nucleotide ribosomal RNA is filed under the name uncultured bacterium. Its description in RNAcentral is "partial 16S ribosomal RNA". It matches the Rfam family "Bacterial small subunit ribosomal RNA", at positions 1279 to 1500 of the family's 1533-position model. The record is from RNAcentral.